UGCGUAGGCGGGUCUUUAAGUCAGGGGUGAAAUCCUGGAGCUCAACCCCAGAACUGCCUUUGAUACUGAGGAUCUUGAGUUCGGGAGAGGUGAGUAGAACUGCGAGUGUAGAGGUGAAAUUCGUAGAUAUUCGCAAGAACACCAGUGGCGAAGGCGGCUCACUGGCCCGAUACUGACGCUGAGGCACGAAAGCGUGGGAGCAAACA
This 206-nucleotide ribosomal RNA is filed under the name uncultured bacterium. RNAcentral describes it as "partial 16S ribosomal RNA". It matches the Rfam family "Bacterial small subunit ribosomal RNA", at positions 568 to 774 of the family's 1533-position model. The record is from RNAcentral.